This 370-nucleotide ribosomal RNA is filed under the name Littoraria aberrans. RNAcentral's name for it is "partial 12S ribosomal RNA". The record is from RNAcentral. Lineage: Eukaryota; Metazoa; Mollusca; Gastropoda; Littorinimorpha; Littorinidae.
UCUUAGAUAUAAAACUGAUUAAACCAUUUUACCAGAGUACUACGAACAUCCAGUUUAAAACUCAAAGAGCUUGGCGGUGCUUUAGACUUCUCAGGGGAACUUGUCUCGUAAUCGACAGCCCACGAACCAACCUCACCUCUUCUUGAAACCAGUAUGUAUACCGUCGUCGUCAGGUAACUUUUAAAAAUAAAGAAGUUAGCAAACAAAUCAUCCUAAAUUUCUACGUCAGAUCAAGGUGCAGCCCAUGAAAAGGAGUAGAUGAGUUACAAUUAAAAUUUAUAAUUACAGACAUUGCUUUUAACAAAGCUUUUAAAGGAGGACUUGAAAGUAAGGCUCAGCAGCCAAACAGUUUGAAUUAAGCUCUGAAGCG